This 1346-nucleotide long non-coding RNA is filed under the name Brassica rapa (field mustard). Its description in RNAcentral is "long non-coding RNA (BRAP_LNC003402)". The record is from RNAcentral. Lineage: Eukaryota; Viridiplantae; Streptophyta; Magnoliopsida; Brassicales; Brassicaceae.
AGGAGAAUUUUAGAAGGCCAAAUUGUAAUUCACCGCCUCCAAACCAGAACAACGAUUGAAGUAAGCAUUUUAGUUUGGUCUACUUUGUGAGGGUAAAACUGACAGUUCAGUAUAAGUCAAGAACACGUCUACUUGGGCAUGUGGCGUUACUACUAGUUAACGUAUAUGUGUUAAAGAAGUGUUGAUUGAUUUUAUUUUUUUUUUGUCAACGAAGUGUUGAUUGAUAACUUUUCACUUUAAAAAUUUAUUUAUUCUUCUUAAAUAAUGAAUGGAAACAGAUUAUAAGACCGUUGUGGGUCCCUUUAGAGCUUACGUGCUGUAAUUUGAUUUGGUAUAUAAUUUUCGCUGGUCGCAGUCGCAGCUUCUUAGCAAGUGACCGUUGGAGACUGAGAGGAGCCUUCUUUGUUUGUUUGUUUUUUUUCUCCGGUGUCCACUGGCGACCGUUGUGAAAUCAAAACCUUUAAUUAUCUCAAUUCACACGAGGUCUUCUAAUAAAAAUAGGUAUAAUACAAGUCUCCUUAAGAGUGUGUGUACAAUUUUAUGAGUUGUGACAUUGUAACGGAUAGUUCUUUUCUUACUUAAAAACGGUAUUCGUUGGAAAAAGAAUAUUAUCGAUUUAUGUGCUAGAAAGAUCAAACUUUGGUAUCCAUGAACAAAUUAUCUAACUGUCUCUACUUAUAUCCGAUACUACUAAUUAUCAUUAUAUUAGUAUUCUUAGAGAUCAUACGUUUAGGAAAGUAGAUCAUUUUUUUCUUCCUGUAUUAAGAAGUUUGAACAGUCCAUUGAAUCAAUACAGAAAAAAUCCAGAGCAUGUUUCUUGUUAAAGUUAGAUUAGGGCUUCACAAUUGGCUGAUGGAGAAGAACUAACAACAAAGAUGAUUUUUUUUUGAUCAAACAACAACAAAGAUGAAUAAAAGUAGAAGGAAGAACCGAACUCGUUCUGUUCAAAAAAAAAAAAAAAAAGAAGAACCGAACUCGUAUUUUCUAGAAUCGCAGAUCAAAAUUAUUGAGAUAUUAAAAUAAGUGAAUUAGAUUAUACGUAAUAAAACUUUUAUUAAACCAUUAUUACCAAGUUUAUACAUUAAAAUGCAUAUAAAUCACGGAAACUCAAUGUUUCUGCAGAAUAUAUUAAAUUUAUAAAAAGAUGAUCUUCCAAUCCAUACAAUAUGUUAAUUAUAUUCCAAUCCAUACAAUAUGUUAAUUAUAUUCCAAUCCAUAAAAUAUGAUCUUCCAAUCCAUACAAUAUGUUAUUUAUAAACUAUAUUCCCCCCCCCCUCUCUAACCUAUGUUAAUUAUAGGAGUACAAAUUAAAAUUACAUACAUAUAUAUGGUGCAAAGUAGCAAAU